UAGGGAAUCUUCGGCAAUGGACGGAAGUCUGACCGAGCAACGCCGCGUGAGUGAAGAAGGUUUUCGGAUCGUAAAGCUCUGUUGUAAGAGAAGAACGAGUGUGAGAGUGGAAAGUUCACACUGUGACGGUAUCUUACCAGAAAGGGACGGCUAACUACGUGCCAGCAGCCGCGGUAAUACGUAGGUCCCGAGCGUUGUCCGGAUUUAUUGGGCGUAAAGCGAGCGCAGGCGGUUAGAUAAGUCUGAAGUUAAAGGCUGUGGCUUAACCAUAGUACGCUUUGGAAACUGUUUAACUUGAGUGCAAGAGGGGAGAGUGGAAUUCCAUGUGUAGCGGUGAAAUGCGUAGAUAUAUGGAGGAACACCGGUGGCGAAAGCGGCUCUCUGGCUUGUAACUGACGCUGAGGCUCGAAAGCGUGGGGAGCAAACAGGAUUAGAUACCCUGGUAGUCCAUGCCGUAAACGAUGAGUGCUAAGUGUUGGGAGGUUUCCGCCUCUCAGUGCUGCAGCUAACGCACUAAGCACUCCGCCUGGGGAGUACGACCGCAAGGUUG
This 550-nucleotide ribosomal RNA is filed under the name uncultured bacterium. RNAcentral's name for it is "bacterial SSU rRNA". It matches the Rfam family "Bacterial small subunit ribosomal RNA", at positions 355 to 896 of the family's 1533-position model. The record is from RNAcentral.